AUUAUGAGUUAUGUUCAAUGAGGGUGUAAGAAAGAUUGAUUGAGUCUUUCACCGAGACUCUUGGGAAUAAGGCGGUUACAUCGAAAGAUACCAUUAUUUCGUCAACUUCGAUUUCACCUGGAUUAGCAUAUGGUCGCAAAACUGAAAUGUAGAGGUGCUGAUUGUUUAGAGAUGAUACUUUCAGCAAGAGCUGUCAAAUUGUAUUUUCAAUGAUUCGGUGUCCUUUCUCGCUGCUCUUCCGGUAAGAACAGAGAUAACCUGCAUCAAAUACAAGUUAUAAACUAUAAACAUGAACGCGGGACUGUGCUUGAGAUUUUUAAGUAGGAUUUUGAAAUGCGGUAGUUACAGUUCGAUAAAAAAAAAUCAAACUAUGUACAAACACAACUACUCGAAAAUAAAUUGUUAUUGGUUUCGUAUUAGUUAAAUCGUAAAAUUUUGCGAGAAUUUUAGACGUAUUGAACAUCAUCUCUACCGCAGGUUAAUAUAAAUCGAAACGCCAGGACUAAAGCUCAUGCACGAUAUAAGUCUUUACGCAUAGAUGUAGAGUACCACAUCAGCAAUCUUUCACAACUAAUUUCUGCAAUGAAUAUUGAAACGUAAAAACGUUUUACACAAUAAAAAUAUUUGUAUUGAAUACAAUUACAAUUACAAUUGAGAGAGCAUGGAACUGUUUGAAGGUGGACAUAUUAACUUUAGCGA
This is a long non-coding RNA of Malaya genurostris, 699 nucleotides long. RefSeq lists it as uncharacterized. The transcript is spliced from 3 exons. The record is from RefSeq and is a predicted model, not a curated record. Lineage: Eukaryota; Metazoa; Arthropoda; Insecta; Diptera; Culicidae.